GUCAGGAUGGCAGAGUGGUCUUAGGCGCUAGACUCAAGGUUCAGUUCCUUCUCAUGAUACAUGGUAGAGUGUUCUGUUCUCCUAAUGGAGGCGUGGAUUCGAAUCCCACUUCUGAUA
Molecule: non-coding RNA, 117 nt
Organism: Nematostella vectensis (starlet sea anemone)
Lineage: Eukaryota; Metazoa; Cnidaria; Anthozoa; Actiniaria; Edwardsiidae
Source: Rfam